CCCUGGGAGAAAAGCCCACGGGGGAAAUUGUCACGGGUUUUAUUCCAUGUCCAUUUGGAAGCCCACGAGGCAGGGAUUUCCCGGCCCAAUCCGCGGGGAAACCCUAGGGAAAGGUCCCUGACCUCCGGAGGUCGGGAAUUUUUCCUCUCUCGAUCCGCCGCUGCUUCUCGCUCGCGCAACCGGAGUCGCUUCUCUCUCGCGCGAACAACAGCGGGCGCCGCCACGCCUCCUUCUCCGGCGAGACGCGCCACCGCCGAGACUCCUCCUCCGGCGAGAAGGGCACCAACGCGUGGGCGCGGCGGGUGGCACCGCGGCAGUUGGUGCAACGACGACGAGGCGGCGAGCCGGCAGCGCGGGCACACGGCUCCAAGCAGGCGGGGACAGGGGGGAUCCAAGGCGGCGCGACUCACUGGCAGAGGAGGCGCUGAGGCGCAGAUCCGCCUCCUCCUCCUCGCUGCGCGACGCCCGCCGGCGGUUGCCCGGCUAGGUUUGUGCGUGCCCUUGUAGCUGCUGCUUGAUUCUUGGGGGUUCGUUCAGUACUUUAGUUUUCUUGGUGUAUGUAUGGCAUGUUUCUUGAUUUGGUUUGGGAGAGUUGUAAUUUGUUCUCCUGUUCUUUCUAAUACAUUGUAGUAUUGUACCCUGCAGUAGCAUUUCAUUUUGUUAUGGAAGCGAUUCAGAAGGGGAUAUGGGUGGGCGUAUGGUGCUCUUGUUUUAGAUCAUGAAUGAGUUUUGGUAAGAUGAUGUUCUAAUUUGAUGGAGUAGGUUGUGCUCUGGUUUUUUCUGCAGUGUAAUUAUCAUGCUUAGUGCAGUCUAAAUAUAUGAGAUCAAUGUGCCAGUCCCAAGAAAUGAGGAAUUAUCACACAUGCAGUGAGGAUCAUUCAACUAGUGAGGUAUAUGAGAAAUUUUAGUCUGCAAACCAGUAACAGUUUUUUGCAGUUAAUUAGAGAUGCAGUUCUUUUAGUUGGAUGCUGUCAGCUCUGUUAACCUAGAGGUAGAUCUCAGUACUGGUUGAGCUGCUAGCAUCAAGUUUUUUGUUUUUUCUGGAGGUAUUUUUUAGUCUGAUCCAUUCUUGUAGUCUCUGUCAGGGAACUGUAGAAUUAGUGGUUAAUUUAGCAUGCAUGUUGGGACUAAAUAAAUGGUAACAAUCAUAUUUUUGAUAGGAACUCAUACUUACUACAAAAUGAAGUCUUUUAUGCUCUAUACUUAUACAUUAGUCCAAACUUUAGUUUCAUGUCAUGUAUCACCAGCAGAAAAUGAGCAAGGUGGCAUUGUACAUUCAAAAAACACAAGCUUUGGCAGCAACCUAUAUACAAGACACGCACACACAGAUGUUUCAAUCUCCUCUCUCUCACUCACUGCACAAUACACUGGCCAAACAAAGUGACUUAGUAGUACUGAUUAAUUAAAACAACAACAACUACUACUUUUUUUCCUUAUCAUGUCCAUAAUGAUAAUUCAUAAUUGUGCUCUUGCAUUCUUCCUCUUGCCAGGAUUCAAUUUGAAUUGCAUGCUCAACUUACUUUCAAAUAUGGACUUGAAAUAGAGUAUUGUUGGAAAACUAUCAAUACAAAAACAUGGACUUCAAAUGUGUUUGAUUUAAAAAUAAUGGUGUGUAUCUGCAUGUAGGGUGUUUGAUCUAAAAAGAAAGUGCUUAUACAAAGAGUUUGUUUACGCUGAUGUAGCUGGCAAUUGCAAUAUGUUGGUUGAUGUGCAUGCAUUUUUUUUCCUAAGCUAGUAUCAAUGGCCGUCCUUCAAAUUUGAUUGCUGAAGUAUCACUAUUUUAUAUUUAUUACUUAAAUUUUAGAUUAUCUUUUUCAUCAUGGCAGAUUUAUUAGAAUAUAUGAAGAUUUGUUGAAGAGAUGACGAAGAAGAUAGAAGAGAUAAAGAUUUAAAUGGACCCAUGUCUCAUUCUUGAUCCAGACAUUUGUGGAUAUAAAUAUGAUGUACAGUAUAUUUGUGGAUGCAAGGAUGAUUCCAAAGAUUUUAAAUUUUGUAUGAUAUGGAUGAUUCUAAAGUUUAACUUAUGUCAUGUCACGAAGUUGGUUUCCACAUAAACUCACCUAUAUUUCUUUGUAUUUUUCUGAAUUUCUAAUACUUGUUGAUUUUUUAUGUUUUUUUUUUCUGGAAUUUUUGUAGGUUGUUUCCUAUUUAUAUGGAUUUUCUAUAUUCUUUCUAUUUUUCCUGAAAUUUCUAUAAUAUUUCUAGAGACAUGUUUUGUUGUUUACGGGACUUUUUCCUGGGGUUUCCUCCCCUGCAUCCAAAGGAGCCCUUAAUUUCUUUGAAUUGGGAGGAAUCGGUCCCAUCAACACAUUUUUUACCAACCGAUAGCAAUCCCUAUAGCACAAGCAAGCAGCAGAGUCGAUCGCCAACCAUCACAAGUGUCUGAACAUUCAUUUUCUCUCUUCCUCUAUUGCUCCCUAGGCGCUGGCGAAAUGCAGAUGGUGUCCUCGUCGCUGAGCAAGCCGUUGUUGUUGUCCUCGUAGCUGAGCAUGGUUUUAGGCAUGCUCCCGACCCUCAAGAGUGUAUUCGCGUGGCCGUCGUCGUCCCCGUCGCCGGCGGAAGGGGCACCCUGCAGCCUCAGCCAGGCUUUCUUCCUCCUCUGCAUGAGAGCCACCAUUAUCCUGGGGGCGUGUUAUACUGUUUUCCUUUUCUGGGUUGCAUUUGCAUACCCUCGUAGCUGGCUAGAGUACCUGCAGCUGUCUCCAUUGUUCGUCGUCGCUGUAACUGCUCCAACGCUGGGAGUAGUGAUGAUCCGGAACGGCUGAACUAUACCAUCAAACUUCGUGGAUGCGUGUGGGCACAUCAUUAAUUCCUCAUACUGCUUACUACUACUAUGUGCAUGUCUGUUAUGCUACGAAAUGCAUGUAUCGAUCUGCGAUGUAAUAUUCAGUAUUUUUCAUAGCACAACAGACAUCGCAGAUACUGUACGUAUAUUGUUGUUCGUCAUUUUCCUUUCCACUUUUCUUGUUAAUUUGAAGAAUGCAAUAGAUGCGCCUGAAAUAUAUGCAUCUGUACCGAUAUAAAGAUGUUAUAUAAUAACACAGGUUUGAUACGCAUCUAGUCUUGACUGUUACUGUUAUUGAUCAUAUAUAUGGUUGAGAUUUAAUUUA
This is a long non-coding RNA of Oryza sativa Japonica Group (Japanese rice), 3110 nucleotides long. RefSeq lists it as uncharacterized. Lineage: Eukaryota; Viridiplantae; Streptophyta; Magnoliopsida; Poales; Poaceae. The record is from RefSeq and is a predicted model, not a curated record.